Molecule: long non-coding RNA, 300 nt
Filed under: Mytilus galloprovincialis (Mediterranean mussel)
Lineage: Eukaryota; Metazoa; Mollusca; Bivalvia; Mytilida; Mytilidae
Source: RNAcentral
UUUCGUUUUAAAAGUACAGGUAGAGAAGGUAAAACAUCAAUUACACGUGCUAAGCUGGAAUGGCGCGAAAUCAAUCACCUGGAAAAAGUACGACUGUUUAAAAUUACAGGUAAAACUAAGGAUUAUAUCAAUGAUGUUUAGUAAAAAAAAAUCCAGAAACAACAAAACUAAAUUUGAAAAAAAAGUGUUGCUAAACUUUUCUGGGUCAGUGUGGCGAAAGAAUAAACUAUUAGUUUCUGAUUAAUGUUCUAUUAAUAAUAUAGAUGUUACAACAAUACAGUCCACAUUGAGAGGUAUUUA